GUGGGGAAUAUUGCACAAUGGGGGAAACCCUGAUGCAGCGACGCCGCGUGGAGGAUGAAGGCCUUCGGGUUGUAAACUCCUUUUGUAGGGGAAGAUAAUGACGGUACCCUGCGAAUAAGCCACGGCUAACUCUGUGCCAGCAGCCGCGGUAAGACAGAGGUGGCGAGCGUUGUUCGGAAUUACUGGGCUUAAAGGGCGAGUAGGCGGUGGAGCAAGUCUGAGGUGGAAUCCUACGGCUUAACCGUAGAACUGCCUUAGAAACUGUUUUACUUGAGUCAGUGAGGGGAGGGCGGAAUUCCUGGUGUAGCGGUGAAAUGCGUAGAUAUCAGGAGGAAGGCCUGUGGCGAAAGUGGCCCUCUGGCACUGUACUGACGCUGAGGCGCGAAAGCGUGGGGAGCAAACAGGAUUAGAAACCCCAGUAGUCC
This 425-nucleotide ribosomal RNA is filed under the name uncultured bacterium. RNAcentral's name for it is "bacterial SSU rRNA". It matches the Rfam family "Bacterial small subunit ribosomal RNA", at positions 354 to 796 of the family's 1533-position model. The record is from RNAcentral.